Molecule: unclassified non-coding RNA, 529 nt
Filed under: Bombus terrestris (buff-tailed bumblebee)
Lineage: Eukaryota; Metazoa; Arthropoda; Insecta; Hymenoptera; Apidae
Description: misc RNA ENSBTSG00005036679.1
Source: RNAcentral
GAUAAAUAGUUAUACUAUAACAGAUAAAGCUUAAUCUAACGUAAUUAAGAUUAAUCUCUACAAUGUAAGAUGACUCGAAAUCCACAAGCGAAAGGUUCGACCCUUCGAACGCUUGAGCGAAAUGGUAGGUUAACUGGCAAACGUACGUACGAGUGGAAGGUUUGCAGAAAAACGGAAGAUCGGUUUUUGAGAACGUUCAGCUGCGACGAGUUUCGUUCGACUACGGUAAAAACCUCUUUUGUAAGAUAGAAGGAAAAGGGGAGAGAAGCUUUCACGGAGUUGCUAGGCGAGCUUGUCGAGCAGCAGAAGUGCGUGAACAGCGUAGACCUGGAUUCAAGUGGUGUCGAGGCAGUGCGUUUUAAUUAUGGCCAGCCUGCUUUUCUAACCUUCGUCAAGCACGUCGUGCUAUUAGACCCGAGAUUAUUCCUACUAAUUAUCUUAAUUACGCGUGCCUGCAAACGGUACAGCUAAGCUAAAACCGGCGACCGCGUAUAAUUUGGCAAUUUCGAGUUGAAUAAAAGCCACAAUA